RNAcentral lists this ribosomal RNA (371 nucleotides) under uncultured eukaryote. RNAcentral's name for it is "SSU rRNA". It matches the Rfam family "Eukaryotic small subunit ribosomal RNA", at positions 587 to 969 of the family's 1831-position model. The record is from RNAcentral.
AGCUCCAAUAGCGUAUAUUAAAGUUGUUGCAGUUAAAAAGCUCGUAGUUGGAUUUCUGGGAGGGUGCCAAUGUCCGCCGACGUGCGUGCGCAGCGGCGCCCUCUCAUCCUUCUGUUAACGUCUCUCGGCAUUCACUUGCCGGUGGCGGGCUCAGAUAUUUUACCUUGAGAAAAUUAGAGUGUUUCAGGCAGGCUAGGCCGGAAUACAUUAGCAUGGAAUAAUGGAAUAGGACUUCGGUCUCUUUGUUGGUUUGAGGGACUGCAGUAAUGAUUAAUAGGGAUAGUUGGGGGCAUUAGUAUUUAAUUGUCAGAGGUGGAAUUCUCGGAUUUGUUAAAGACUAACUUAUGCGAAAGCAUUUGCCAAGGAGGUUU